CUUUUAUUGGAAAUUUGAUUGGUUUUAAAACUAUUUGGAUUGGAUCAUGGCGACAACUAUUUCAGAAAUAAGUUGGUGGUGGAAGUCAUCAUGGAAGAACAACAAUGCUGUCAUAUAAUUCAUUCUCAAAGUUACAGUCAGUGGCGAAGGACGUCAUGGAGGCGGAGUUGUCAGACAGAUGCAUCGCUGAUGGGUUUACGUGUUCAGGUACUGAGGUAAAC
This is a long non-coding RNA of Coregonus clupeaformis (lake whitefish), 221 nucleotides long. RefSeq lists it as uncharacterized. The record is from RefSeq and is a predicted model, not a curated record. The transcript has 3 exons. Lineage: Eukaryota; Metazoa; Chordata; Actinopteri; Salmoniformes; Salmonidae.